Small nucleolar RNA from Rhinolophus ferrumequinum (greater horseshoe bat), 107 nucleotides. Lineage: Eukaryota; Metazoa; Chordata; Mammalia; Chiroptera; Rhinolophidae. The record is from Ensembl.
ACCCUUUUGUAGUUCAUAAGUAUGAUGACCUGGUGUUCAUGCUUUUGCGUGAGACGUGCCUCCCACAAACCUUGCUACGACGACAUCGGCACAUUACCCAUCUGACG